GGCCAAGUUAUUAAGGGCGCACGGUGGAUGCCUUGGCACCAGGAGCCGAUGAAGGACGUGGGAGGCUGCGAUAUGCCUCGGGGAGCUGCCAACCGAGCUGUGAUCCGAGGAUUUCCGAAUGGGGAAACCCGG
Molecule: ribosomal RNA, 132 nt
Filed under: Frankia sp. AnpHR
Lineage: Bacteria; Bacillati; Actinomycetota; Actinomycetes; Frankiales; Frankiaceae
Also listed under: 2 other names
Description: partial 23S ribosomal RNA
Rfam family: Bacterial large subunit ribosomal RNA
Source: RNAcentral